Molecule: ribosomal RNA, 205 nt
Filed under: uncultured bacterium
Lineage: Bacteria
Description: partial 16S ribosomal RNA
Rfam family: Bacterial small subunit ribosomal RNA
Source: RNAcentral
UCAGUUCAGAUUGCAGGCUGCAACUCGCCUGCAUGAAGUUGGAAUUGCUAGUAAUCGCGAAUCAGCCAUGGCGCGGUGAAUACGUUCCCGGGCCUUGUACACACCGCCCGUCAAGCCAUGGAAGCCGGGGGCGCUUGAAGUGCGUUGCCGCAAGGCGCGCCCUAGAGCGAAACCGGUGACUGGGGCUAAGUCGUAACAAGGUAAC